GAUGAACGCUGGCGGCGUGCCUAAUACAUGCAAGUCGAGCGAACAGACGAGGAGCUUGCUCCUCUGACGUUAGCGGCGGACGGGUGAGUAACACGUGGAUAACCUACCUAUAAGACUGGGAUAACUUCGGGAAACCGGAGCUAAUACCGGAUAAUAUAUUGAACCGCAUUGUUCAAUAGUGAAAUACGGUUUUGCUGUCACUUAUAGAUGGAUCCGCGCCGCAUUAGCUAGUUGGUAAGGUAACGGCUUACCAAGGCGACGAUGCGUAGCCGACCUGCGAGGGUGAUCGGCCACACUGGAACUGAGACGCGGUCCAGACUCCUACGGUAGGCAGCAGUAGGGUAUCUUCCGCAGUGGGCGGAAGCCUUACGGAGCAACGCCGCGUGAGUGAUGAAGGUCUUCGGAGCGUAAAACUCUGUUACUAGGGAAGAACAAAUGUGUAAGUAACUAUACACGUCUUGACGGUACCUAAUCAAAAAGCCCCGGCUAACUACGUG
This 497-nucleotide ribosomal RNA is filed under the name uncultured bacterium. RNAcentral's name for it is "partial 16S ribosomal RNA". It matches the Rfam family "Bacterial small subunit ribosomal RNA", at positions 28 to 507 of the family's 1533-position model. The record is from RNAcentral.